Molecule: ribosomal RNA, 194 nt
Filed under: uncultured bacterium
Lineage: Bacteria
Description: partial 16S ribosomal RNA
Rfam family: Bacterial small subunit ribosomal RNA
Source: RNAcentral
CCUACGGGAGGCAGCAGUGGGGAAUUUUGGACAAUGGGGGCAACCCUGAUCCAGCCAUGCCGCGUGCGGGAAGAAGGCCUUCGGGUUGUAAACCGCUUUUGUCAGGGAAGAAAUCUUCCGGGCCAAUACCCCGGAAGGAUGACGGUACCUGAAGAAUAAGCACCGGCUAACUACGUGCCAGCAGCCGCGGUAAU